CCAUUCUUCAUAUUUUAAUUAUUUUCAUCUCUUAUUUGAUCGUUUACGAGUUUUAACUUAAUUCAAGUUGGGUCCAGGGUUCGAAUGUAUAUUGCAAACGAGGUCCCUCAACUUCAACGGCGAGACGAGUGUAGAUCUGGCCAAGGAAGAACAAAAAGGUCAAAAACGAACAAUGUGGAUGGUAUAUAGUUCAAGAAACAAGACAAUGAUACAGUUUCGGAUAUAAUGAGUACCCGUUUCCCACCCCGAACAUAUUUACGAGUACCGGUACUACCCGGGACACCGAAAAUCGAGCUGGGUUCAAAAUCCCCACGUUUGUUUGUUUGUUUGCACGGAAGACCUAGCCUCUCUGAAUGAACACCCCAUGUCACCUAAUACCUGCCUGCUGUUAUUGUAGAAACAGACAAAACCUAACUUUGAACACAAGUAAGGUUUUGUUUGACCCCAUGUUGAAAACGUUUUAUUUUGGUUUCAUAUACGACUUACAAAACUACGUACGUACCAUUUGGAUUGAGCUCAGUGAUGUUUGCUGCAAAGGGGGGGUGGUCGUGGUGGCUGCUGAGUCCAUGCCGACAUCAAAUCGAUUCUUUAAUUCCAUUCGUCUAUUAGCUGCUGAUGGCUUGAUGCUUCCUUCUUAUGCCAACUGGGUGCCAUUUGUUUUCCUGCAUUGAUGACGUUUUCUUCUGCAUCUUAUCUCAAAAGCUUUGUUUGAAACAGCCUCGAGCAUCUUCUGAUCAUUCUAUCUGUAAAAGGAGAAUAUGAAUUAUUAUUGAAUGAAUAGUAUGUGGUUCUCUUAUGAGGGCUUUAUUUUGAGUUUAUUAGGGCUUUAUUUUGAAUUUAUUAAAACUUUAUUUUGAAUUUAUGAUGACCUUAUUUUAAGCUCACAUAUUACUUUUUAUGGGUCGUGUGAUAUUUUCCAUUCUUCAAUAGACAUGACUUAAACUAUCUCACGCUUUCAUUUUGCUUAUACGUUUCCUAUAACAAAAGAAAAGUUUUAUCUAUCUCCAUUUAGUCUUUAAAACUUUCCACAAUAUAAUUCUAAUAUCAUUAAAACAACAAACAUGAAACUGAAAAAUGAAAAGCUCGCGAGCAAAUUUGAAGAUUAGCAUUUCAUCCGGUCAUAUUCACAAAUAGAUAAACCAAUUCUAGUAUGUCUACAACAGCAUACUUGGAAGCCAAGCCUUUUUCGAAAAAAAACUUAUUCGUGACUCGACUCGAUUUUAAAUGAACCAACUUGAAUAUUAGCUCGAGUAUACUUUAACUUAAUAGACUUAAUGAUGUGUACGUGCUAAUGAGGAACAUUGUUUAGGUUAGUAAUAACUUGUAAAAUUUAGGACAGCUUUGUUUUUUAGCUUGUCUCGUCAACAUUUUCUAGUGGUACAAGCUUCAAAUGGAGCUCAAAUUGGGUUCAUGAGGGGGUUUCAAUGACCGAAAUUCGAAUUGAACUCAAGUUUGGCUCGUCAAGCCUAAUUGACGAGCUAGGCUCGAGUUCGACUCAGCUCAAUCAAGCCACAAUUUCAGACGGUAACUGGAAAGCGGAAUUUUAACAAUUAGAAAACAUCUUACCACAAUUGCCACCAUAGUUGAGCUCGGCCUUACCUCAAUCCGGAAACUGAUGUUCGAAACUUAGGUGCCUCCUGUACAAAUGUACAUGAUUCAAGCUCUAAACUUGAUCCUCAAAUGGCACCAACUCUUCCAACAGAGGAAAUCCCAAUUGCACAGAUCCCAAUAUACUCCACUAGGUGUUACACGCCUGUGAUCAUAAACCAGUACACAGGUGUUCCCUAACGAAUCUGGAUUUGGUAAGUAGUU
This 1812-nucleotide long non-coding RNA is filed under the name Linum usitatissimum (flax). RNAcentral describes it as "long non-coding RNA (LUSI_LNC005601)". Lineage: Eukaryota; Viridiplantae; Streptophyta; Magnoliopsida; Malpighiales; Linaceae. The record is from RNAcentral.